This 940-nucleotide ribosomal RNA is filed under the name Allophlebia ludoviciana. RNAcentral describes it as "Phlebia ludoviciana partial large subunit ribosomal RNA". It matches the Rfam family "Eukaryotic large subunit ribosomal RNA", at positions 52 to 983 of the family's 3401-position model. Lineage: Eukaryota; Fungi; Basidiomycota; Agaricomycetes; Polyporales; Meruliaceae. The record is from RNAcentral.
GGGGGAGACUAACAAGGAUUCCCCUAGUAACUGCGAGUGAAGCGGGAAAAGCUCAAAUUUAAAAUCUGGCAGUCUUUGGCUGUCCGAGUUGUAAUCUGGAGAAGCGUUUUCCGCGCUGGACCGUGUACAAGUCUCUUGGAACAGAGCGUCAUAGAGGGUGAGAAUCCCGUCUUUGACACGGACUACCAGUGCUUUGUGAUGCGCUUUCAAAGAGUCGAGUUGUUUGGGAAUGCAGCUCAAAAUGGGUGGUAAAUUCCAUCUAAAGCUAAAUAUUGGCGAGAGACCGAUAGCGAACAAGUACCGUGAGGGAAAGAUGAAAAGCACUUUGGAAAGAGAGUUAAACAGUACGUGAAAUUGCUGAAAGGGAAACGCUUGAAGUCAGUCGCGUCGUCUAGAACUCAACCUGGCUUUUGCUUGGUGCACUUUCUAGUUGACGGGCCAACAUCAGUUUUGACUGCUGGAAAAAUUCCAUUGGAAUGUGGCACCUCCGGGUGUGUUAUAGCCUUUGGUUGUAUACAGUGGUUGGGACUGAGGACCGCAGCACGCCUUAUGGCCGGGGUUCGCCCACGUACGUGCUUAGGAUGUUGGCGUAAUGGCUUUAAGCGACCCGUCUUGAAACACGGACCAAGGAGUCUAACAUGCCUGCGAGUGUUUGGGUGGAAAACCCGAGCGCGUAAUGAAAGUGAAAGUUGGGAUCCCUGUCGCGGGGAGCACCGACGCCCAUACCAGACCUACUGUGACGGAUAUGCGGUUGAGCAUGUAUGUUGGGACCCGAAAGAUGGUGAACUAUGCCUGAAUAGGGUGAAGCCAGAGGAAACUCUGGUGGAAGCUCGUAGCGAUUCUGACGUGCAAAUCGAUCGUCAAAUUUGGGUAUAGGGGCGAAAGACUAAUCGAACCAUCUAGUAGCUGGUUCCUGCCGAAGUUUCCCCUCAGGAAAGAU